RNAcentral lists this ribosomal RNA (441 nucleotides) under Eucratonyx meinerti. Its description in RNAcentral is "partial large subunit ribosomal RNA". It matches the Rfam family "Bacterial large subunit ribosomal RNA", at positions 1925 to 2600 of the family's 2925-position model. The record is from RNAcentral. Lineage: Eukaryota; Metazoa; Arthropoda; Chilopoda; Geophilomorpha; Eucratonychidae.
UAACGGCCGCGGUAACUUGACCGUGCAAAGGUAGCAUAAUCAUUAGUUUUUUAAUUGGAAACUGGAAUGAAGGGUCUGACGGCUUAUUGCUGUCUGCUUUUUAUGUUUUGAAUUUUAGUUUAUUGUGAAGACGCAAUAAUGGCUUAAAAAGACGAGAAGACCCUAUAAAGCUUUACACGGGCUGAGUUAAUAAUAGGCGGCUUGUGUUUCAUUGGGGCGAUGGGUGUGAAAAGUUAACACAUUUGUUUAGUAGACGGUCUGUUGGAUGAGAUUUGAGAUCCAUUUUAAAUGAAAGGAGGACAAGUUACUUUAGGGAUAACAGCGUAAUUGGAUCGGAGAGUUCAGAUUGAUGAUCUUGAUUGCGACCUCGAUGUUGAAUUAGGAUGUCUUUGGGUUGCAGCGGACCCAUGAGAUAGUCUGUUCGACUAUUAAAUUCCUACA